This 520-nucleotide ribosomal RNA is filed under the name uncultured Glomus. RNAcentral describes it as "SSU rRNA". It matches the Rfam family "Eukaryotic small subunit ribosomal RNA", at positions 569 to 1088 of the family's 1831-position model. The record is from RNAcentral. Lineage: Eukaryota; Fungi; Glomeromycota; Glomeromycetes; Glomerales; Glomeraceae.
AGCAGCCGCGGUAAUUCCAGCUCCAAUAGCGUAUAUUAAAGUUGUUGCAGUUAAAAAGCUCGUAGUUGAAUUUCGGGAUCAAAUUGUCGGUCGUGCCUCGGUACGUACUGGUAUUAUUGGUUCCUCCCUUCUGACGAACCACGAUGUCAUUAAUUUGGUGUCAUGGGAAAUCAGGACUGUUACUUUGAAAAAAUUAGAGUGUUUAAAGCAGGCUCGCGCUUGAAUACAUUAGCAUGGAAUAAUGAAAUAGGACGUUUGAUUCUAUUUUGUUGGUUUCUAGGAUCGACGUAAUGAUUAAUAGGGAUAGUUGGGGGGCAUUAGUAUUCAAUUGUCAGAGGUGAAAUUCUUGGAUUUAUUGAAGACUAACUACUGCGAAAGCAUUUUGUCAAAGGAUGUUUUCAUUAAUCAAGAACGAAAGUUAGGGGAUCGAAGACGAUCAGAUACCGUCGUAGUCUUAACCAUAAACUAUGCCGACUAGGGAUCGGAUGAUGUUAAUUUUUUAAUGACUCAUUCGGCGCCU